RNAcentral lists this ribosomal RNA (447 nucleotides) under uncultured bacterium. RNAcentral's name for it is "bacterial SSU rRNA". It matches the Rfam family "Bacterial small subunit ribosomal RNA", at positions 355 to 825 of the family's 1533-position model. The record is from RNAcentral.
UCGGGAAUUUUGGGCAAUGGGCGAAAGCCUGACCCAGCAACGCCGCGUGAAGGAUGAAGUAUUUCGGUAUGUAAACUUCGAAAGAAUAGGAAGAAUAAAUGACGGUACUAUUUGUAAGGUCCGGCUAACUACGUGCCAGCAGCCGCGGUAAUACGUAGGGACCAAGCGUUGUUCGGAUUCACUGGGCGUAAAGGGUGCGCAGGCGGUUGGGUGUGUCAGAUGUGAAAUCCCGAGGCUUAACCUCGGAACUGCGUCUGAAACUACUCGACUAGAGUACUGGAGAGGGUAACGGAAUUCACGGUGUAGCAGUGAAAUGCGUAGAUAUCGUGAGGAACACCAGAGGCGAAGGCGGUUACCUGGACAGUUACUGACGCUCAGGCACGAAAGCAUGGGGAGCAAAAGGGAUUAGAUACCCCCGUAGUCCCUGAGCGGGCUGGCAAGGCGCAU